CUGAGAUAAUUUAGUUGUACUGACUUCAAAAGGUGUUUACUAUCUGCGGCACUGGCUGCAUAUAUUUUUAGUUUAGUGUGAAAUUAGAGAAUGGCUUGAUACUCCUGUUAUUAAAUUGUCGUACCAUUUUGACAUGCAAACUUUUAAAUUCUAGAGGAUAGAAGACAAAGGAAAGGAGUUUGGCUCUACCAUCAAAUCUGGGCAGUUUAGAUGGUUUGUGAGAGAAACAGGAGCACCUGAGAGCCGCCGCGGAACCAUUGUUUUCCUUCAUGGGGCUCCAACACAAUCUUUUAGCUAUCGAGUUGUCAUGUCUCAGAUGGCAGAUUCUGGAUUCCACUGCUUUGCACCUGAUCUGUUAGGGUUUGGUUUCAGUGAC
This is a non-coding RNA of Camellia sinensis, 376 nucleotides long. NCBI's taxonomy places the organism in Eukaryota, Viridiplantae, Streptophyta, Magnoliopsida, Ericales, Theaceae. The record is from RefSeq and is a predicted model, not a curated record.